UACGUAGGGGGCAAGCGUUGUCCGGAAUCAUUGGGCGUAAAGAGCGUGUAGGCGGCCCGAUAAGUCCGCCGUGAAAGUCCAGGGCUCAACCCUGGAAUGCCGGUGGAAACUGUCGGGCUGGAGUCCGGAAGAGGUGAGUGGAAUUCCUGGUGUAGCGGUGAAAUGCGCAGAUAUCAGGAGGAACACCAAUGGCGAAGGCAGCUCACUGGGACGAUACUGACGCUGAGACGCGAAAGCGUGGGGAGCAAACAGG
This 253-nucleotide ribosomal RNA is filed under the name uncultured bacterium. Its description in RNAcentral is "partial 16S ribosomal RNA". It matches the Rfam family "Bacterial small subunit ribosomal RNA", at positions 524 to 776 of the family's 1533-position model. The record is from RNAcentral.